Dendrobium catenatum is the source of this 847-nucleotide long non-coding RNA. RefSeq lists it as uncharacterized. NCBI's taxonomy places the organism in Eukaryota, Viridiplantae, Streptophyta, Magnoliopsida, Asparagales, Orchidaceae. The record is from RefSeq and is a predicted model, not a curated record. The transcript is spliced from 4 exons.
AGGAGGGCAAGGUGCGAAGCUUUUAACAGAGUAUUCCUGUAGCAAAUCCCUUGGAAUACUUGAAAGGAUUUCAGCCUGCAUGCGGGCUAUAGGUGCUUGCGGCUGUAAAUGUUUCGGCAUGUGCUGAAAGCACUGUAAAAGGAGCGAUCAAGGGCCAUCAAUUCACAGAAAUUCCUUGUGCAAACAGUGAUUCUAAGGUUCAAAAGAAUUCCGUAUAUUUUAGUGAAAGGGAGUUUUGUAGAAAUUGUGAAAUAAGGGAAACAAAUUGCAGGUGGUAGUUUGGAGAAGAGAGAAAGGAAGAAGAGAAGGAAAGAAUAAAGGAAAGAAAGGAAGAUAAAGGAUUAUUCAUAGAUUUAUGCAGAAAGAAAGCUUUGGGUUUGUGUAUCAAAGGAGGAGACUUCGUGGUGUAGGUUUUGAAGAGAUCAACAAUCAAAGAGGUGGGCAAAAGGGACCCAAAUUACUAAGCCUGUUUUGUAGAGGGGGGCAAAGGGGACCCCAAAAGAAAAAGAGAUCUGCAUAGCAGGCGGGGCAAAAGGGACCCCAAUGAGGCAAAAGGGACCUCAAGGUAAUUCAAUGGCGAUAAUGCCAGGGUAACCUGGGCUCCAUUGAAUAUUGUUAUGUAUUUAUAGCCAAGUCUUUUACAUAUUUAAUUUUUGAUAUUCAAUAUAACUUCGAAGAGAUAAUUAAAAAUACUAAUUAGGAUUUAUGAUGUUGUUAUCAUUAAAAUGUGAGUUUAAUGCUUUAUGACUUCAACAUUUUAAUUUAUUCUCUUCAUGUAUUAUAACUGUUAUUUAAAUUACAUAAUUUACGGGGCCUCAUAGCUUAUCAGUUAUCUUUUACUGGCUGU